GAUGAACGCUGGCGGCGUGCUUAACACAUGCAAGUCGAACGAAGCACCUUGAUUUGAUUCUUCGGAUGAAGAUCUUGGUGACUGAGUGGCGGACGGGUGAGUAACGCGUGGGUAACCUGCCUCAUACAGGGGGAUAACAGUUAGAAAUGACUGCUAAUACCGCAUAAGACCACAGCACCGCAUGGUGCAGGGGUAAAAACUCCGGUGGUAUGAGAUGGACCCGCGUCUGAUUAGGUAGUUGGUGGGGUAACGGCCUACCAAGCCGACGAUCAGUAGCCGACAUGGGAGGCUGCCCGGCCACAUUGGGACUGAGACACGGCCCAAACUCCUACGGGAGGCAGCAGUGGGGAAUAUUGCACAAUGGGGGAAACCCUGAUGCAGCGACGCCGCGUGAGCGAUGAAGUAUUUCGGUAUGUAAAGCUCUAUCAGCAGGGAAGAAAAUGACGGUACCUGACUAAGAAGCACCGGCUAAAUACGUG
RNAcentral lists this ribosomal RNA (479 nucleotides) under uncultured bacterium. RNAcentral describes it as "partial 16S ribosomal RNA". It matches the Rfam family "Bacterial small subunit ribosomal RNA", at positions 28 to 507 of the family's 1533-position model. The record is from RNAcentral.